GAAUGCAUUGGAAAAAAAAAAAAAAAAACAGGUGGAGAAAGAUGUGGUGAAAGCAGAAGAGUAUUAUGGGAGGGCAAUAUUGGCAAACCCAGGUGAAUGUGAUGGAGAAGUACUUUCACUGUAUGGAAAAUUGAUAUGGGAUAUACAUAGAGAUGAAAACAGAGCUAAUUUUUACUUCAACCAAGCUCUUCUAGCUUCCCCUCACAAUUGUAUGAUAAUGGGUUCGUAUGCGAAUUUCAUGUGGGAAGUUGAGGAGGAGGAAGAAAAAGAAAUUGGGAGAUCAGUUAAUAAUAAUAGUAUAGCAUCAUCAAUUAUGGUGGAGGCUUUCUAAUUUAAUAUUGUAAUCUUAAAUAUAUAUUAUAUAAAUUACAGCUGUCAGUCAGUCAGUCGUAGGUUUUUCUAACAAUGCUACAGAUACAAUCAUACAACAACAAUGUAAGAGGAAAACAAUUCUGAAUUCUAGUC
Erythranthe guttata (spotted monkey flower) is the source of this 465-nucleotide non-coding RNA. Lineage: Eukaryota; Viridiplantae; Streptophyta; Magnoliopsida; Lamiales; Phrymaceae. The record is from RefSeq and is a predicted model, not a curated record.